CCUACGGGUGGCAGCAGUGGGGGAUAUUGCACAAUGGGGGAAACCCUGAUGCAGCGACGCCGCGUGUGGGAAGACGGUCCUCUGGAUUGUAAACCACUGUCCCCAGGGACGAAGAUGACGGUACCUGGGGAGGAAGCUCCGGCUAACUACGUACCAGCAGCCGCGGUAAUACGUAGGGAGCGAGCGUGGUCCGGAAUUACUGGGUGUAAAGGGAGCGUAGGCGGGACUGCAAGUUGGGGGUAAAAUCUACCGGUUCAACCGGUAGCCGCACUCAAAACUGCAGUUCUUGAGUGAAGUAGAGGCAGGCGGAAUUCCUAGUGUAGCGGUGAAAUGCGUAGAUAUUAGGAGGAACACCAGUGGCGAAGGCGGGCUGCUGGGCUUUUACUGACGCUGAGGCUCGAAAGUGUGGGGAGCAAACAGGAUUAGAUACCCCUGUAGUC
This 440-nucleotide ribosomal RNA is filed under the name uncultured bacterium. RNAcentral describes it as "partial 16S ribosomal RNA". It matches the Rfam family "Bacterial small subunit ribosomal RNA", at positions 338 to 795 of the family's 1533-position model. The record is from RNAcentral.